RNAcentral lists this long non-coding RNA (12596 nucleotides) under Theobroma cacao (cacao). RNAcentral's name for it is "long non-coding RNA (TCAC_LNC005733)". Lineage: Eukaryota; Viridiplantae; Streptophyta; Magnoliopsida; Malvales; Malvaceae. The record is from RNAcentral.
AUGCUUGUUCAAAAGAAUUUGAGAUGUUAGGAAAGGAGAUGUUGAAGAAAUGUGGAGGUUUACCUCUAGCAAUUGUUGUAUUGGGAGGCUUACUUGCAACAAAGAAGUCAUGGAAUGAGUGGGAGAUGGUGCAAAAAAACAUCAAUGCAUACUUGAACAAGGACCAGCGACAAGAGUAUGGCGGAGUUACUGAGAUUUUGGCUUUAAGCUACAAUGAGUUGCCCUUUCAUUUAAAACCAUGUUUUUUAUAUCUUGGUCAUUAUCCAGAAGAUUUAGAGAUUUCAAAAAAAGAAUUAGUUAGACUAUGGAUUGCUGAAGGUUUUAUUUCUCCAUCACUGGGAGGAGGAGAAAUGUUGAUGGAGGAUGUAGCUGAACAAUACCUAGAAGAGCUAACAAAUAGAUGUUUGGUUCAAGUUGGUAGAAGGAAUCAUACAGGGGCAAGUGUGAAGACAUGUUAUAUUCAUGAUCUCUUAAGAGAUUUGUGUGUGUCAAAAGCUCGAGAGGAGAAUUUCUUUGGAAUUGUUCAGCCGUCGAUGAAUGGAAACGAGAAUUGUUCUCUCGAUCUAACUGUUGCUGCUGUAUCCAAGAUGCGUAGAAUUGUUGUUCAUCCUAGCAAAAGGUAUGUUUCCUUGAAGGGAGAAUGUCCCAACUUACGUUCUCUUUUACUCUUUCAAGAUGAGGAAUUGAUAAGACUACGCAUAUCAAAAUGCAAUAAUUUUAAAUUCCUAAGGAUCUUGAAACUCUUAAGAGAGGUUGGUUCAUGGAUUAUGCCAAGUGCAAUUGGUUAUCUCUUUCAUUUAAGGUACUUGAGUUUAAAAUGCAGGAAGUUGGUCUUGCCAUGUUCUAUUGGCAAAUUGAAGAAUUUACACACUUUAUCAAUCCAAGUGGAAUUUUUAGUGAAAAUUCCUAAUGUCUUGUCUAAGUUGGAACGCCUGAGGCAUUUUCUACUAAACUACUACCAUGGAUUCAAAAAGUAUGGAUCCCACGAGUGGCAUGAAAUAAAAGGGUUUUGCCAAGUAAACACUUUGGAAAAUAUUGAAACUAUGAAGUACAUAAGGGUUGAGAAUUUGACUAAAAACAAUGCACUGCUCAAGCUGACAAAUAUUCGGAGUUUAGGAAUACAGUUUAUGAGAUCAAAAGAUGUUGAGACUAUCCUAAGAUCCCCUAGCUUUGGAUUAGACCGCCUUCGAUCAUUGCACAUGAGGUUAGAGGAACCAAUUCCAUUUCCAACAUUGGAGCAACUUUCUCAAUGUCACCACCUCUACAAACUAUUCUUACAUGGGAGAAUACAGGAAGACCCACGUUCGAGCCAUCAUGUUUUGAAAUUUCUUCCGACCAACAUCUGCAAGUUAACUUUGUGGGAGUCGCACAUUAAUCAAGACCCAAUGCCUGUACUAGAAAAGCUACCUCAUUUGAGGAUUCUCUGCUUAGGGUCUUCAUCAUAUAGGGGGACUAAAAUGUCUUGCUCUGCUAAUGGGUUUCCUCAACUUGAUUCUCUUCACAUAUAUUCAUUAGAUUUAAAAGAGUGGCAAAUGGAAGUAGGGGCAAUGCCAUGUCUUCGUAGCUUACAUUUGACUUGUGUUCCUCGCAUGAAGAUGUUUCCAGAAGGGUUGAGGUAUAUCACUACUCUUCAGGAAAUGAAAUUAAAAGGGAUGAGGAAAUCACUGGUAAAGAGGAUUCAAGUUAUAGAGGGAAGGGAAGGCGAGGAUUUUUAUAAAGUGCGCCAUAUACUCUCCAUCCGGAUCAUUGACACGUGGAUUCGCUGAACUGAUGAACUUCUAAUUUUGUUGUGGUGAGUUUGUUAUUUCUACCAUAAAUCUCUUCUCUUUUCAUUUGAGUCUAUACUUUCCAUAACAAAUUAUGCCAAUUUAUUCUCUGUUUUUGUUAUAUUAUUAUCUUAAAACAAUAAACAUGAACAUGGUUAUGGAUUGGCUUGGCAGGUUUGAAGAAUCGAUGGCUGAAUUUUAUGAGCAAUCAGCACUCAAAUGGCUAUCUUUCCAUGUGAUUUGGGCAUUAAUUUGUUGCAAGACAACGCCACUGUAAUUGUCUUACUGUUAUCUUUAUGAUGUUGUUUUCAUUUAUUUUGGAAUUACUAAUAAUUUGUAGCAAUCUGUAUUCCAUGUUUGUUAUUUGAAAUUUGCAGUUCUUGUUCUUGUGUUGUAUGGUUUGUUCUCUUUGUUCAUCUUAUUUGUAUAAUACUGAAUCUCAUUGGUUCUAUCAGCUAUGUGAACAAUGGCUUGUCAUUCUUUUAAUCCUGCAAAAUUUCAAAGCUCUCUCCUUGUUCUUUCCUCUUCAAGAAAGGUCUGCAGAUAGCCUAAUGGUGGAAAGUAGUAAUUCAAACGUUGCAAGUUCUGGGAUUUUAAACCCAAAUUCCAACAAUGUUUUUGUAAAUUUACUUUCAUGUCUCCUUAUGCACAUAAGCAUGGCGAUUUUAGGAAAAAUGAUUCAUUACUGGUCUUCCUGUUUUUCUUUCCUCUGUUCUGCGAGUAUAUGAUGUGUUUGACAUUGAGUUGGCCGCCAAAACUGGGAGCUUGCAAGCCAGCGCAAUGCCAAAUGUAAUGUGUUUGGUAUUGAAUUGACUGUCAAAAGUUACGGUUUGAGAAUCAAAGGCAAAUGCUAAACAAGACUUUGAUGUCUUGUUUGAUCGACUAGGUCGUCCUUGUAGAACUGCUUCCUUUGCAUCUAACUAUGGGUGAUGUCCUGAGAUCAAUGAAGAACAUCAAUUCACCUCUACUCUUCAUUCUUAGGGUGGCAACUUCUCUCUGGUAGUCACGACAAACUGUUGUUGCUGAAGGCUUCUCAGUUUUCAAGAUUGUUGGAUUAAUGGAGUUAAAGAGUGGCGUAACUUCCAUGAUAGCUGCAAAUGAUCAUGUUAUUUGUCAUUCCAACCCUAGUGCAAUAUGCUUGAUGCUUAAGCAAUGUCAAUCUAUCAGAUGAUUGAUUAAAUUUAUUUGAAUUAUUAAAAAUUCCUUAAGAAGACAACCUACAGAUUCCAUUAAAAACAAAAGGGCAAUUAGAUAGACAGACUCUGAGCACCAAAACUGAAUUUGUUCUUUUCUCCUUGUCUUUUUCUUCUUUUAUUUACUUUUUUUUUUUUCAUUUAUGUGACUAACAAAGAAUAAGACUACACCCAGAAAGAGAUCGCUACUAGUGUAUAGAAUAAUAAUUCUCAAAAAAUCACAAAAUUAAACAAAGAAAUGGAAAUACAUUAACAAAUAAUUUAUAUCAUCAACUUAGUUACAGAGUCAUAAAUGAUGAAAGAUAAGAUAAGAGUGAUACAAUAAAAAUGCUCAAGCAAUUUUCCUUGCUAUUGCAUGCCAGGCUCGGAUUAUGUCAAUUCAUCUAACACCAAUGACAAGUAAUUGACGAUUGAAUCUUAUUAAAACAGUGUUUGAUAAUUACCUAUACUUCUUCCUUCCUGUAUGGCAUCGAAUCCUAUUGAAUUUGUGGGACAAAAUUAGUAGAGAAUAAAGUAACGAAUAAGAGACACUUUGUCCUUUUGCUUUUGUAGUUCCUGGAAAACAAAGUAAAGAAAAGAGAUUCUUUGUCCUUUUGCUUUUCCUUGUCCAAUAUGAAGAAAAGAAUAUCAACUAAGGCAAGUAUAGGUACCCAGCUGAAGCUAAUACAUAUAGAAAUUCAAAAAAUUGUGUAGAAAUUGUUGAUACGGCCUGAUUUAUUGUUCUCCUCCAAAACCCUUCGACUUGUGCAAUUAACCAUUUUGUUCUUUCAAAUUCAGCCACACUGCCUUGUUGCAUUUCCAUCUUACCUUCGAAAGAAAAAUGGCAGAGUCAAUCGUCUCGCUUACCAUUGAAAGAAUUGCAGAUUUACUCAUUCAUGAAGCCCUUUUCUUGAAUGAUGUGAAAGAAGAAGUUGAGAGCCUAAAGGGUGAACUGGAGCGGAUGAAGAGCUUCUUGAAAGAUGUGGACCGUAAGCAGGAACAAGAUGAACGUCUCCGAACUCGGGUGAGGGAAAUCAGAGAUCUUGCUUAUGAUGCUGAAGAUGUUAUAGACUCUUAUAUUCUUAAAGUUGCAAAUCGAGGAGGCUUCUGUACGAUCAUCAAGAGAUUUACAACCCUUUCCAGUACUCACAAAAUCGGGAAUGAGGUCAAUACUAUUCUAACCAAGCUUGAGAAUAUCUCGAAAACUCUUCUGGUUUUUGGGAUAUCAAGGGAAGGAGAGGGCUCUAAUUCUGCUGCUGAGAUGCAGCACCGGUUAAGAAGAUCGUACCCACAUGUUGAAGAAGAUGAUGUUGUCAGCUUGGAGGUUAGCACAAGGGAUGUUAUGGAUCAAUUAAUGAAGAAAGAGGAUAGACUCCAUGUUGUUUCCAUAGUGGGCAUGGGGGGCAUAGGUAAGACCACUCUUGCCAAGAAAGUAUAUAACCACAAUGAUGUGAAGAAACAUUUUGAUUGUUGUGCUUGGGUUUUCAUAUCCCAACAAUGCAAGCCAAGAGAGGUUCUCCAUGGAGUCUUGAUAAAGAUUCUGUCUCCGUCAAUAAAAGACAGAGAGUUAAUCGAUAAACUCAAAGAAGAUGAAUUGGUAGAAAAGCUUUAUGAUGUCUUGAAAGAUAAACGAUAUUUGGUGGUUUUUGAUGAUAUAUGGAGAUAUGAGGAUUGGGACAGCCUUAAACCUGCUUUUCCCAAAGGAAAUGAAGGAAGCAAGCUCUUAUUCACAACACGCAAUAAGGAAGUUGCUAUGCUUGCUGAUCCUCGUAGCUCGCCAAUAGAGCUCUCACUUCUUACGGGCGAUGAAAGUGGGAAGCUUUUCAAAAGGAAAGCAUUUCCGGAAAAUAAGAUGGAGUCUCAUGCUUGUUCAAAAGAAUUUGAGACGUUAGGAAAGGAGAUGUUGAAGAAAUGUGGAGGUUUACCUCUUGCAAUUGUUGUAUUGGGAGGAUUACUUGCAACAAAGAAGUCAUGGAAUGAGUGGGAGAUGGUGCAAAAAAACAUCAAUGCUCACUUGAACAAGGUCCAACAACAAGAGUAUGGUGGAGUUAAUGGGAUUUUGGCUUUAAGCUACAAUGAGUUGCCCUUUCAUUUAAAACCAUGCUUUUUAUAUCUUGGUCAUUAUCCAGAAGAUUCAGAGAUUUCAAAGAAGGAAUUAAUUAGGUUAUGGAUUGCUGAAGGUUUUAUUUCUCCAUCAUUGGAAGGAGGAGAAAUGUUGAUGGAGGAUGUAGCUGAACAAUACCUAGAAGAGCUAAUAAAUAGAUGUUUGGUUCAAGUUAGCAGAAGGGGUCAUAGAGGGACAAGUGUGAAAACAUGUCGUAUUCAUGAUCUCUUAAGAGACUUGUGUGUGUCAAAAGCUCAAGAGGAGAAUUUCUUUCAAAUUAUUCAACCACCGAUGAAUGGAAAUGAGAAUCGUUCUCUUGAUCUAACCGUGGCGACAGUACCCAAGGGGCGCAGGAUUGCUGUCUAUCUUAACGAAAGGUAUGUUUCCUUGAAUGGAAAAUGUCUAAGCUUACGUUCUCUUUUACUCUUUCAAGAUGAGGGAUUGAUAAGGCUACACAUAUCAAAAUGCAUUAAUUUUAGAUUCCUAAGAGUGUUGAAACUCUUGAGAAAAAAUGAUUUUUGGACUCUAUCAAGUGAAAUUGGUAAUCUGUGUCAUUUAAGGUAUUUGGGUAUUCAAUGUCAAGGAGUGGAUUUGCCACGUUCUAUUGGCAAGUUGAAGAAUUUACACACUUUAUUUAUCCAAGUUCCCGGUUGUUCAGUGAAAAUUCCUAGUGUCUUAUCCAAGUUGCAACGCUUGAGGCAUCUUGUACUAACCGGCCAUUGGAGAAACUGGCCGGUCAAAUGGCCUGAAAUAAAAAGGUGUUCCCAAGGAAAUAGUUUAAAAAAUAUUGAAACUUCGAAGUACAUAAGGAUUGAGAAUUUGACUGAAAACAAUGCAUUGCUCAAGUUGACAAAUAUUCAGAGUUUAGGAAUACAAUUUGGGAGAUCAGAAGACGUUGAGGCCAUCCUAAAAUCUCCUAGUUUUGGAUUACGCCGCCUUCGCUCAUUGCACAUGUUGUUAGAUGGAUCAAUUCCAUUUCCAGAAUUGGAGCAACUUUCUCAAUGUCAUCACCUCUCCAAACUAUUCUUACGUGGGCAGAUACAAGAAGACCCAAACUCGAGCCAUCAUGUUCUGGAAUUUCUUCCAACAAACAUUUGCAAGUUGACUUUGUGGCAAUCGCUUAUUAAUGAGGAUCCAAUGCCUGUACUAGAAAAGCUGCCUCAUCUGAGGAUUCUUAUCUUGAAGAACUCAUCAUAUACGGGAACUAAAAUGUCUUGCUCUGUCAAUGGGUUUCCUCAACUUGAUUCUCUUGAUAUCUAUGGAUCAAAUUUAGCAGAGUGGCAAAUAGAAGAAGGGGCAAUGCCACGUCUUCGUAGUUUAUAUUUGGUUGUUGUUCCUGGCUUGAAGAUGGUUCCAGAAGGGUUGAGGUAUAUUACUACUCUUCAGGAAAUGUAUUUACAUGGUAUGAACAGAUCAUUGGUAGAGAGGAUUCGAGUUAGAGAUGGAAGGGAAGGAGAGGAUUUUUAUAAAGUGCGCCAUGUACUCUCCAUCGGAAUAUUUUAGGAGCUGUACGGAAUGUCUAAUGUUUGUUCUUUCACAGAAAGCAUCAUCCUUGCCCAAAGUAGUUGUGGUGAGUUGGUAAUUUCUACCAUAAAUCUCUUCUCUUUUCAUUUGGGUCUACCCUUUCCAUAAUGAAAUAUGUCAGUUUGUUCAUUGUUUUUGUUAUUAUUGUUACAUUAUCUAUUGCAUUUCCCAAGUAUUAUUAUCUUAAGACAAUAAACAUGAAAAUCUAUUUGGAUUGACUUGGCAGGUCGGCACUCCAUUGUCCAACUUUCAUGUGAUUUGGGCAUUAACUUGUUGCAAGACAGCGCCACUGUAAUUGUCUAACUGUUAUCUUGAUGAUGUUGUUUUCAUUUAUUUUGGCACUGUGACUGAAUUGUAGCAAUCUGUAUUCAAUGUUUUUUUAUUUGAAAUUUGUAGUUGUUGUUCUUGUGUUGCAUGGUUUGUUCUCUCUGUUCAUCUUAUUUGUAUAAUACUCAUUGGUGUCCUAUCAUCUAUGUGAACGAUGGUUCUUUUAAUUCUCCAAGAGCUCAAAGCUCUGUCCUUGCUCAGUCCUCUUCAUGAGGACAGGUUUUUAAUGGUGGAAAAUAGUAAUUCAAAGGUUGCAAUUUCUGGGAUUUUAAACCCAAAUCCCAAGUUUUCUUGCAUAUUUCAACAACAUUUUUGUAAAUUUGCUGUCUGAAAUAGUUCCUAUUUGUUCCACUCUCAAUGAGACAGCAGGAGGGCUCGGUGCAACUGGAAAUUCUAAGAAAGUAGAUGCUUGUGAACUCUUUCCUGUUAGAUACAGGGUUCUUACCUUAUGAGAUAACACAUAGGAACAUCCUGUGCUUUCCUCUAUCAAAGGAUAUUAAAAAUAUACUGCCAAUGAAUAAAAUAAUUUUCCUUUUAAAUAUAAUAAAUAAUUUUUUUAUUUUUAUUUAAUUUACAAGAAAUAAAAGUGAUUAAAUUCAUUCGAAUUAUGAAUUUAAACACUUUCUUUUAAUGGAGAAAACUAUCGAAGACAAAUCAACUUGGGUCUUAUCAAUUAGACCGCCUAUAUAUAUAUAUAUAUAUGUUUGUUUAUUUAUUUAUUUAUUAACUUCCUUCUACUAUCUAUUUUUCAACAAUAGUAGAAAAUUUCAUUACUCUAAUGGAUACUUCAUGUCACAAUAAUAGAAAUACCAUAGCUUCACUUCAUAUUUCCUUUUUUCUUUUGGUUUUUAUAUCGUACAAUGAAUAACUCCAUGACACUAUAAGCCAGCUAGCUACUUAUUAUUUGCAAUAUAAUCUAAACCAUUAUAUCUUAUACUAAAAAAAUCCAAUUUAUAGUGAAAUUAAUUGUUAUAAGUCUUGAUCUUGUCAAUUUUUUUUGUCUAACAAAAGUGUUAUGAUGGCAAAGGGAAUCAAAUUUCUAAGUAUAGCCGGCUGAAGAAACAAGUUAACAUAAUAUAACAAACAAUUAAUUUAGAGUAGCUAGGGAAACAUAGUGAAGUAAACUUUUGUUAAUUAAAACAUUAAUAUCUAUAUAACACGUAAAUUAUAUAAUAUGAUAAAAUACAUAUAAACAUACAUUUGGUUUUCACAAUUUAUAUAAUAAAAUGCACCAUGUACUCUCCAUCCAAAUAACUAAAUACAAAUAAUUGAAAGCAACAUUCUUCCUUAAUAUAGUUACGGUGAGUUACUUAUUUCUACCAUAAAUAUGUUUUCUUUUCAUUUAAAUCUAUUCUUUCCAUCACCAAUUAUGUCAAUGUGUUCUUUGUUUUUGUUAAUAUUGUUAUAUUAUCUACUACAUUUCCCAAGUAUUAUUAUAUAUCUUAAAGGCAAUAAACAUGAAAAUAUAUUUGAAUGGACUUGGCAGUUCUGAUGUGUUGAUGACUAAAAUUUUAUGAGCAAGCAGCACUCCAAUGCCCAUCUCUCCAUAUGAUUUGGGCAUUCAUUUAUUGCAAGACACCACCACUGUAAUUGCCCUGUGAAUAAAUUGUGGCAAUUUGUAUUUGAUUUUUUUUAUUUAUUUGAAAUUUUUAGUUGCUGUUCUUGUGUUGUAUAUAUAUUUUUUGUUCUCUUUGUUCAUCUUAUUUGUAUAAUAUUAUGAGUCUCAUUGGUGUCCUAUCAUCCAUGUGAACAAUGGCUUGUUAAUCUUUUAAUUCUGCAAAAGCUCCAAGCUCUUUCCUUGUUCAUUCCUCUUCAGGACAGGUUUACAGAUAACCUAAUGGUGGAAAGCAGUAAAUCAAAGGUUGCAAUUUCUGGGAUUUGGAACCCAAAUUCCAACAACAUUUUUGUAAAUAAAGUAGUAAAAAUGAUUCAUCGGUCUCUCCACCAAACAUGAUUCAUUUGGCAUUACCUUAGUCUUAUCGAAAUCUACACUUCAAUCUUUUUUCGUCUUAACAAAAGUAGUCCAGGAAAUGUUUCUACUGAUCAGGUAUUCCUUCAUUUUCUCCUGCUUUUUGCACAACCCCAGGAUCAGAUGAUCAGGGAGUUUGCUCCUAGUUGUUCCACUCUCAAUGAGACAGCAUGAGGGCUUGGUGAAACUGGAAACUCCAAGAAAGUAGAUGCUUGUUACUGGUCACUUGAAAGAAUACUAAACCAGGGCUUGGCCCCAUUUUAUAAUGAAAUGCCUGCAAGAAAAUUGAAAAUUGGUAAGAACUGGUAAUAACAUAUAGGAAGAGCCUUUAACAAAAAUGGGACUAACAUGGUACCAAAGUAAAAUAAUUAAGGUUUCAAAUCCAUGUUAACAUAACAUGGGACUAACAUGCUAGUUUCCUCCAUAUUUAACAAAAACCGUAAUAAAUUUUAUUUAAUCUUCCAUGUGAGUCUUAUAUUAUUGAUCUUUUUCUCCUUUUUUUUUUUUUAAAAAAAAGAAGUGGGAGUGGCUAGCAUGUGUUAGAAAAUUGGUGGAAAAAGAAAGCACAAGGAAAAUAGCUUUUGCUUUUGCAUUCCCUGAAAAGGACUCAAUCCUAACUUUUGAGAAAAUAAUAUUCGAGUAUUUAAUUUAAUAAUAAAUGUAUGUAUUUUUAUUCAAAAAAUUUUGAAUUCUCUUUUUUUUUUCACAUACAAAAAUCACUUAACAAAAUAAAACACAAAAUAAAUCUCUUAUAACAUGAUAAUCCAUAAUCUCAUUUCUUAGUGAUAUGAUAAUGGGUAAAUGUCAUUAAAUGAACAAUUCUUAUAAAAAAUAAACGAUAAUUAAAGAAAACAUUUUGUCUUUGCUCACUUGAUUAAUUUUCUACAUCAUGUUUUCUCAUUAUUUUUACAACUUUAGGGAUAAUAACUAGGCUCAAUUAGAUUCAUUUCUUAUGCUUCGUCCUCUCAUAAUAGAGUUAAGUUUUUCACUUUUUUAUCUAAUUAGAAAGAAUAUAUAUAUGCUUCUCCCUAUCAUAUAAUUCAUUAGGGUACAAUUGAACAUAUAUAUAUAUAUAUAUUUAAAUAUUUAUAUUUUUUACAUAUAUUAAUAGAAAUAUAAUCACAUUUUGUUAAUAACAAUAAGUCUAAUAAUAAAAUAAAAUUAAAGUUAAGAGAAUUAGAUAUAAUGACAGUAAUUAUUUAUAACUAUGUAAUUUAUAUCAUGAAUGUACUUGUAGGUGUAAUUGAUAUGUUUUUUUUUAAAUGUUUAUAUAUCUUUGUAUACCUUAACAUAAAUUGAUAUCGUAUUAUCAAAAACAAUAUAUUAAUGUAUAAGAGUAUUAUUUAAAAAACUGAUUCAAUUGUUAAUGACAAAGAUAAGAUUAAUAAUUAUCAUACUUGAUUUAUAUUUUUUUUAACUGGAUAAGUAUAAGUAUAUUAUAUUUGUAUAUAUACAAAAAAAAUCAGGCCAACUUGUGUAUGGUAUUCAAGGGCAGGACUUCCACAUUUGUUUUGUGUUAUUGAAGCUUUGGGUUUCUGCUAAUUUGUGCUGUAAUUGAAGUAAAUCUAAGGACUCUUGUCAGAGAUGGAAGAAACAGAGACUUAAAUUUUUACUUUUAUUUUGUUGCCUUCUUAAAAUUUCAGGAUUGGGAUAUAAAUCCACCCACCCACAGGGGAACACUAAAGUCAAGUGAUGAUGAUUACAUGUAGCUCCUGUUCCUAUAUGGGAUUAAGCCAAUUGGUUUUGUGGGACAAAGUUAGUGGACAAGAAAGUAAGGAAAAGAGAUUCUUUCCCCCUUUGCUUUUCCUGUCUAAUGUGUAUGCAGCUAAUGCUAAUACAUAUUAUUGUACAGAAACAGCAAUGAUAGAAGAAGAAGAAAACAGAGUAUUGCUCUUGUUGGCUUCCUCCAGAUUUCGUCUCGGUUUGACAAAAAACAGUAGGGGUUAAAUCUUUUAUGUCGGCCAUAUUAUUGAUCUCUUUUUCGUUUUCUUUUCUAAAAGAAGUGGGAGUAUUCACACUGCAAUAGCAUAUAUUAGAAAAUUGGUGGAAAAGAAGGUACAGGGAAAAGAGCUUUUGCUUAUGUUAAUAUGGUUAAGUUAUUUUCUCCUGCAAAACUCAUUGACUUGCCCAAUUAAUCUGUCCACCCUGUAGCAUUUCAUCUGUCUUGCCUUUGAAAGAAGAAUGGCAGAGGCUAUCGUCUCGCUUGCCAUUGAAAGAAUUGCAGAUUUACUCAUUCAUCAUGAAGCCCUUUUCUUGAAUGAUGUGAGACAAGAAGUUGAGAGCCUAAAGGCUGAACUAGAGCGGAUGAAGAGCUUCUUGAAAGAUGUAGACCGUAAGCAGGAACAAGAUGAACGUCUUCGCAAUCGGGUGAGGGAAAUCCGAGAUCUUGCUUAUGAUGCUGAAGAUAUUAUAGACUCUUAUAUUCCUAAAGUUGCACAUCGAGCAGGCUUCCAUGGGUUCAUCAAGAGAUUUACAACCCUUUUCAUCACUCACAAAAUAGGGAAGCAGGUCAAAGAUAUUCAAACCAAGCUUGGGGACAUCUCGGAAACUCUUCCCGCUUAUGGGAUAUCAGUAGAAGGAGAGGGCUCUAAUUCUGCUGCUGAGAUGCAGCGCCGGUUAAGAAGAUCGUACCCACAUGUUGAAGAAGAUGAUGUUGUCAGCUUGGAGGUUAGCACAAGGGAUGUUAUGGAUCAAUUAAUGAAGAAAGAGGACAGAGUCCAUGUUGUUUCCAUAGUGGGCAUGGGGGGCAUAGGUAAGACCACUCUAGCGAAGAAAGUAUAUAACCACAAUGAUGUGAAAAAAUAUUUUGAUUGUUGUGCUUGGGUUUUCAUAUCCCAACAAUGCAAGCCAAGAGAGGUUCUCCAUGGAGUCUUGAUAAAGUUUCUGUCUCCUUCAAUAAAAGACAGAGAGUUAAUCGAUAAACUCAAAGAAGAUGAAUUGGUUGAAAAGCUUUAUGAUGUCUUGAAAGAUAAACGAUAUUUGGUGGUUUUUGAUGAUAUAUGGAGAUGCGAGGAUUGGGAUAGCCUUAAACCUGCUUUUCCCAAAGGAAAUGAGGGAAGCAAGCUCUUAUUCACAACACGCAACAAGGAAGUUGCUAUGAUUGCUGAUCCUCGUAGCUCGCCAAUAGAGCUCCCACUUCUUACAGGCGAUGAAAGUUGGACGCUUUUCAAAAGGAAAGCAUUUUCGGAAAAUAAGAUGGAGUCUCAUGCUUGUUCAAAAGAAUUUGAGAUGUUAGGAAAGGAGAUGUUGAAGAAAUGUGGAGGUUUACCUCUUGCAAUUGUUGUAUUGGGAGGCUUACUUGCAACAAAGAAGUCAUGGAAUGAGUGGGAGAUGGUGCAAAAAAACAUCAAUGCUCACUUGAACAAGGUCCAACAACAAGAGUAUGGUGGAGUUAAUGGGAUUUUGGCUUUAAGCUACAAUGAGUUGCCCUUUCAUUUAAAACCAUGCUUUUUAUAUCUUGGUCAUUAUCCAGAAGAUUCAGAGAUUUCAAAGAAGGAAUUAAUUAGGUUAUGGAUUGCUGAAGGUUUUAUUUCUCCAUCAUUGGAAGGAGGAGAAAUGUUGAUGGAGGAUGUAGCUGAACAAUACCUAGAAGAGCUAAUAAAUAGAUGUUUGGUUCAAGUUAGCAGAAGGGGUCAUAGAGGGACAAGUGUGAAAACAUGUCGUAUUCAUGAUCUCUUAAGAGACUUGUGUGUGUCAGAAGCUCAAGAGGAGAAUUUCUUUCAAGUUAUUCAACC